AGAGUUUGAUCCUGGCUCAGGACGAACGCUGGCGGCAUGCCUAACACAUGCAAGUCGAACGGAGACAGCAAUGUCUUAGUGGCGAACGGGUGAGUAACGCGUGAGCAACCUGCCUCGUACAACGGGAUACCUGCGAGAAAUCGCAGUUAAUACGGUAUAAGACCACGCCGUCGCAUGACGGAGGGGUAAAAGGGAGCAAUUCCGCGG
This 207-nucleotide ribosomal RNA is filed under the name uncultured bacterium. Its description in RNAcentral is "partial 16S ribosomal RNA". It matches the Rfam family "Bacterial small subunit ribosomal RNA", at positions 8 to 218 of the family's 1533-position model. The record is from RNAcentral.